CACGUAGCUAAUCUACCUUCAAGACCUGGAUAACGUUCGGAAACGAACGCUAAUACGGGAUAAGCUCACAUCGAAUAGAGAGAUGUGAGAAAAGCUGAGGCGCUUGAAGAUGAGGCUGCGGCCCAUCAGCUAGUUGGUGAGGUAAGAGCUCACCAAGGCUUCGACGGGUAGGGGACCUGAGAGGGUGACCCCCCACACUGGGACUGAGACACGGCCCAGACUCCUACGGGAGGCAGCGGUGAGGAAUAUUGCCCAAUGGACGAAAGUCUGAGGCAGCGACGCCGCGUGGGUGAAGAAGGUUUUCGGAUCGUAAAACCCUUUUCUGUGUGACGAGAGAGGACGGUAGCACAGGAAUAAGUGUCGGCUAACUACGUG
Molecule: ribosomal RNA, 375 nt
Filed under: uncultured bacterium
Lineage: Bacteria
Description: bacterial SSU rRNA
Rfam family: Bacterial small subunit ribosomal RNA
Source: RNAcentral